UGCUGAGUCCCAGUGAGGACACACGCGCCCCUGAGCUCCGGAAGUGGUCCUCGGUCUGCACCAGAACCGGCAUAUUUUUCCCUCACAGCGUCUGCCCCUCGUUUCUCCAUCAGGAUGCUUGUCCACACGCUUCCAAUUAUUCUCAGGUUGACUAUAAAAAUCAAAUGAGAUAAGGAUCCCUGAGAUCCCAUUUCUGAAGGAGUGUUUUGUGCAGGCACCGAAGGCUGCAUCCCACUGUGUCUUGGUGAGAGGCCCGGUCAGGCUGA
Long non-coding RNA from Suricata suricatta (meerkat), 266 nucleotides. RefSeq lists it as uncharacterized. The transcript is spliced from 3 exons. The record is from RefSeq and is a predicted model, not a curated record. NCBI's taxonomy places the organism in Eukaryota, Metazoa, Chordata, Mammalia, Carnivora, Herpestidae.